CACGGAGACCAGCAAAUAAGUGCCGAGGCUAAUGGUUCGGAAACUGGGUAUGGACCUGGUAACCGUUGUCGGUGCUGUUUCAGAUCAUGCAAUGGCCAUCGGGGAAAUCAUAAUGGUAGGGACCAUCUAAGUAACAGCGGUGAAGCUUAUAAUGAAGCAAGUGAGAGAGGCACCAGAGGAACCAUGAAAGGUCAAUUGGUAAUGAACAGACUGGGUGCAAUGGUCUUGCUGGAAAUGCAACAGUUACUGAUGAUGGUGAUGGUUGAGGGGAAAUAAGAUACAGGCGCCAUCGAGGACUCAAUCGUAUGAAUCGCAUAUGUGAAUGGAGGCCAAGAAAUUACAAUUAUGCUGAAAGCAAAUGACACUUAAAAGAGUAUGAAGAUUCUAUCAAGAGGAAGUCGCCAUCUUCAGAAAAGGGUGUGGAGAGAAAAGUUGACCACAAGCAUUUUGAAUCAAUGCAGAUUAUUGGGAAAAAGAGAGAGGAGCAUGUGUUAAUCAAAGAAGUUAGUGAAGGAGUUGACAAUUAACUCAGGAUAUGCACCAUGUUUUGUCUUAUGAAACUGAACUCCUAUAUUCUGUUCGUGAUUUACUUUCAGAAACUGGACAUGCUUAAGAGGAAAAAUAGCCUUGAGAGGAGAAAUUUCGCAAGUCAAUGAACAGCAACGAGUUCUUCAGACCUGGCUCGGAAAGAGGGAGAGGUCUUACAGGAGCAGUAGGAGCACUGAUGAGAGACUCUGUAAACUGUACUGGUGGUAAAGGCAAUAGAUAUAGACUUAACAAACGCCAUGACUGCUGUCAAGCUGGUGAUGCUCUCAAGUUUGAGGAUCCCAGCAAGUUUCCUGUUUGUAUGCAGUCUAAUACCACUGAAAACGUU
Molecule: long non-coding RNA, 874 nt
Organism: Carica papaya (papaya)
Lineage: Eukaryota; Viridiplantae; Streptophyta; Magnoliopsida; Brassicales; Caricaceae
Source: RefSeq, a predicted model, not a curated record